GCCGAGGUGGCGGAAUUGGUAGACGCGCGAGACUUAAAAUCUCGUGGUGGCAGCACCGUAAGGGUUCGAUUCCCUUCCUCGGCA
Molecule: transfer RNA, 84 nt
Filed under: marine sediment metagenome
Rfam family: tRNA
About the family: Transfer RNA (tRNA) molecules are approximately 80 nucleotides in length.
Source: RNAcentral